AGAGUUUGAUCCUGGCUCAGGAUGAACGCUAGCGGCAGGCCUAAUACAUGCAAGUCGUACGGGAUCCGGCCUUUCGGGGCCGGUGAGAGUGGCGGACGGGUGCGUAACGCGUAUGCAACCCACCCCCGACUGGCGGACAGCCGGUGGAAACGCCGGGUGACCCGCCAUGCGCACCUUUUGGGGCAUCCUGGUAGGUGUAAAGCGGCGACGCGGUCGGGGACGGGCAUGCGUCCCAUUAGAUUGUUGGCGGGGUGACGGCCCACCAAGUCUUCGAUGGGUAGGGGAUCUGAGAGGACGGUCCCCCACACUGGCACUGAGACACGGGCCAGACUCCUGCGGGAGGCAGCAGUAGGGGAUAUUGGGCAGUGGGCGGAAGCCUGACCCAGCCAUGCCGCGUGAGGGAUUGAGGCCCUACGGGUCGUGAACCUCUUUUGUGCGGGGACAACGGCGGGCACGUGAUGCCUGCGUGAGGGUACCGCACGAAUAAGCAUCGGCUAACUCCGUGCCAGCAGCCGCGGUAAUACGGAGGAUGCGAGCGUUAUCCGGAUUCAUUGGGUUUAAAGGGUGCGCAGGGCGGCCUGUUAAGUCAGCGGUGAAAUCCCGGGGCCCAACCCCGGAAGUGCCGUUGAUACUGACGGGCUGGAAUGCGGUCUGGGCGGGCGGAACGUGGCGUGUAGCGGUGAAAUGCGUAGAUAUGCCACAGAACGCCGAUAGCGGAGGCAGCUCGCCGGGCCUGCAUUGACGCUCAGGCACGAAAGCGUGGGGAUCGAACAGGAUUAGAUACCCUGGUAGUCCACGCCGUAAACGAUGGGCGCUCGUCGUCGGCGACAGAUGGUCGGCGGCCAAGCGAAAGCGAUAAGCGCCCCACCUGGGGAGUACGGUCGCAAGGCUGAAACUCAAAGGAAUUGACGGGGGCCCGCACAAGCGGUGGAGCAUGUGGUUUAAUUCGAUUAUACGCGAGGAACCUUACCCGGGCUUGAACUCAGGGGGGAGGACCGGGAGACCGGAACGUCAGCAAUGACUCCCUGAGAGGUGCUGCAUGGUUGUCGUCAGCUCGUGCCGUGAGGUGUCGGGUCAAGUCCCAUAACGAGCGCAACCCCUGCGUCCAGUUGCCAUCGGUUCGGCCGGGCACUCUGGACGGACUGCCCGCGCAAGCGGAGAGGAAGGCGGGGAUGACGUCAAAUCAGCACGGCCCUUACGUCCGGGGCGACACACGUGCUACAAUGGCCGCCACAGAGGGAAGCCACCUGGCGACAGGGCGCGGAUCCCGAAAGGCGGUCACAGUCCGGAUCGGGGGCUGCAACCCGCCCCCGUGAAGCUGGAAUCGCUAGUAAUCGCGCAUCAGCCAUGGCGCGGUGAAUACGUUCCCGGGCCUUGUACACACCGCCCGUCAAGCCAUGGGAGCCUCGGGCGCCUGAAGUCGGGGAUGACCCGCCUAGGGCGAACGCGGUGACUGGGGCUAAGUCGUAACAAGGUAGCCGUA
RNAcentral lists this ribosomal RNA (1483 nucleotides) under uncultured rumen bacterium. Its description in RNAcentral is "bacterial SSU rRNA". It matches the Rfam family "Bacterial small subunit ribosomal RNA". The record is from RNAcentral.